RNAcentral lists this ribosomal RNA (510 nucleotides) under uncultured bacterium. Its description in RNAcentral is "partial 16S ribosomal RNA". It matches the Rfam family "Bacterial small subunit ribosomal RNA", at positions 28 to 507 of the family's 1533-position model. The record is from RNAcentral.
GACGAACGCUGGCGGCGUGCUUAACACAUGCAAGUCGAACGAAGAGCGAUGGAAGCUUGCUUCUAUCAAUCUUAGUGGCGAACGGGUGAGUAACGCGUAAUCAACCUGCCCUUCAGAGGGGGACAACAGUUGGAAACGACUGCUAAUACCGCAUACGAUCUAAUCUCGGCAUCGAGGAUAGAUGAAAGGUGGCCUCUACAUGUAAGCUAUCACUGAAGGAGGGGAUUGCGUCUGAUUAGCUAGUUGGAGGGGUAACGGCCCACCAAGGCGAUGAUCAGUAGCCGGUCUGAGAGGAUGAACGGCCACAUUGGGACUGAGACACGGCCCAGACUCCUACGGGAGGCAGCAGUGGGGAAUCUUCCGCAAUGGACGAAAGUCUGACGGAGCAACGCCGCGUGAGCGAUGACGGCCUUCGGGUUGUAGAGCUCUGUUAAUCGGGACGAAAGGCCUUCUUGCGAAUAGUGAGAAGGAUUGACGGUACCGGAAUAGAAAGCCACGGCUAACUACGUG